RNAcentral lists this ribosomal RNA (253 nucleotides) under uncultured bacterium. RNAcentral's name for it is "partial 16S ribosomal RNA". It matches the Rfam family "Bacterial small subunit ribosomal RNA", at positions 524 to 776 of the family's 1533-position model. The record is from RNAcentral.
UACGUAGGGGGCAAGCGUUGUCCGGAUUUAUUGGGCGUAAAGCGCGUGUAGGCGGCCCGGUAAGUCCGCUGUGAAAGUCGGGGGCUCAACCCUCGAAUGCCGGUGGAUACUGUCGGGCUAGAGUGCGGAAGAGGCGAGUGGAAUUCCUGGUGUAGCGGUGAAAUGCGCAGAUAUCAGGAGGAACACCAAUUGCGAAGGCAGCUCGCUGGGACGUAACUGACGCUGAGACGCGAAAGCGUGGGGAGCAAACAGG